This 720-nucleotide ribosomal RNA is filed under the name Paenibacillus sp. RNAcentral's name for it is "bacterial SSU rRNA". It matches the Rfam family "Bacterial small subunit ribosomal RNA", at positions 121 to 828 of the family's 1533-position model. Lineage: Bacteria; Bacillati; Bacillota; Bacilli; Caryophanales; Paenibacillaceae. The record is from RNAcentral.
GCAACCUGCCCUCAAGCUUGGGACAACUACCGGAAACGGUAGCUAAUACCGAAUAGUUGUUUUCUUCUCCUGAAGAGAACUGGAAAGACGGAGCAAUCUGUCACUUGGGGAUGGGCCUGCGGCGCAUUAGCUAGUUGGUGGGGUAACGGCUCACCAAGGCGACGAUGCGUAGCCGACCUGAGAGGGUGAUCGGCCACACUGGGACUGAGACACGGCCCAGACUCCUACGGGAGGCAGCAGUAGGGAAUCUUCCGCAAUGGGCGAAAGCCUGACGGAGCAAUGCCGCGUGAGUGAUGAAGGUUUUCGGAUCGUAAAGCUCUGUUGCCAGGGAAGAACGCUUGGGAGAGUAACUGCUCUCAAGGUGACGGUACCUGAGAAGAAAGCCCCGGCUAACUACGUGCCAGCAGCCGCGGUAAUACGUAGGGGGCAAGCGUUGUCCGGAAUUAUUGGGCGUAAAGCGCGCGCAGGCGGUCAUUUAAGUCUGGUGUUUAAUCCCGGGGCUCAACCCCGGAUCGCACUGGAAACUGGGUGACUUGAGUGCAGAAGAGGAGAGUGGAAUUCCACGUGUAGCGGUGAAAUGCGUAGAUAUGUGGAGGAACACCAGUGGCGAAGGCUACUCUCUGGGCUGUAACUGACGCUGAGGCGCGAAAGCGUGGGGAGCAAACCGGAUUAGAUAGCCUGGUCUCCACGCCCUAAACGAUUGUGCGCUGUGUGUGGGGG